Molecule: long non-coding RNA, 687 nt
Organism: Hibiscus syriacus
Lineage: Eukaryota; Viridiplantae; Streptophyta; Magnoliopsida; Malvales; Malvaceae
Exons: 4
Source: RefSeq, a predicted model, not a curated record
AGAAGCAUUAACCUGCCUUUUCCUUUUUCUUUUAUAUCUACUUGGUUUGUUCAGCCUUUCUCAGGAGAGUUGUCAAAGUAGAAGAUAUAUCAGUAUAGAAGAAUCAGUUAAGCUCAGGAGGGAUAGCGCCAUAGGUGAUCUUCAACCCUUUCGUGUAUGUGUUUUGAUCCUCCUUAGCGCUAUCCAUCCUGAGUUUCAUCGGUUCUUCUUGCUUUUUGCUUCGUCAAAUGAAGAAAACCCCAUGUAGAAACAAGCACAGAAUCGAUGUUGACAACACGUAGGGGCAGAUGGGAAAUGAAAAAUAUGUAAAAUGGGGUUGUUACGGUUGCAGGACUUGAUCCUUGCAUUGCACGGAAGCGUUCGUAGUACUCUAGCAAUAACUGUAAUACCGUUAUAUUUCCAACGGUGACGAGGAAUGACUAAUCCUCGUUACAGAACUCUCCAUUCCCCGUGCCCGUUGCCGGUUAACCCAUACCCAUCACUGGAGAUCGAAUCCCGACUACAUCAUCAAACCACGUCUCUCAUAUGAAAACCAGGGAAAGCCCUUGGUUUAGUCAGGCUUAAUAAACAACCAGACAGGCCAAGCCAGCUGCUGCAGCGUUGCCCCUACUCCAACAUGUGCCUGUCUGCAGCAGCGUUGCCCCUACUCCAACGUAUAGAAAUGGGGUUUGACUGUUGAAAUUAUAU